AGAAAAUAGAUACCCGGGUAGUCCACGCCGUAAACGAUGAGUGCUAGACGUUGGGAGGCCUAGCCUUCCGGUGUCGCAGCUAAACGCAUUAAGCACUCCGCCUGGGGAGUACGGCCGCAAGGUUAAAACUCAAAGGAAUUGACGGGGCCCGGCACAAGCGGUGGAGCAUGUGGUUUAAUUACGAAGCAACGCGCAGAACCUUACCAGCCCUUCGACAUGGGGAGGUGUGAGCCUGGGAGACCGGGUUCGUUCAGUUCGGUCUGGCUCCCGCACAGGUGCUGCAUGGCUGUCGUCAGCUCGUGUCGUGAGAUGUUGGGUUAAGUCCCGCAACGAGCGCAACCCUCAUCUUCAGUUGCCAGCGGUUUGGCCGGGCACUCUGAAGAAACUGCCGGUGACAAGCCGGAGGAAGGCGGGGAUGACGUCAAGUCCUCAUGGCCCCGUACGGGUCUGGGUCUACACACGGUGCUACAAUGGCGGUGACAGAGGGAAGCGAAGGCGCGAGCUGGAGCGAACCCCGGAAAAGCCG
RNAcentral lists this ribosomal RNA (526 nucleotides) under uncultured bacterium. RNAcentral describes it as "bacterial SSU rRNA". It matches the Rfam family "Bacterial small subunit ribosomal RNA", at positions 775 to 1285 of the family's 1533-position model. The record is from RNAcentral.